GGAUGCUCUGAAGACCUGCUCGCUAGGCCACGCACGGAGGACGCUGGUUCCUCAUGGGCCCUGGCCCGCCUAGGGGAAAGUCCCCGGACCGCCGGCAGAGAGUGCCGGGCGCUGUCGCGCCCCCGCCCGCCCCCAACAUCACCAUGUCACCGCCGAGACGCCCCCGGGCAGAGCGGGUGAGUGCGGGGCGGGCUCUCGUCACGGCCACAGACACGCAGGUAGUGCGCAGGCGCACCAACAGAACGGGGCUCACUCUCAGGCCAUC
Molecule: RNase MRP RNA, 265 nt
Filed under: Melopsittacus undulatus (budgerigar)
Lineage: Eukaryota; Metazoa; Chordata; Aves; Psittaciformes; Psittaculidae
Description: RNase MRP (ENSMUNG00000001389.2)
Rfam family: RNase MRP
About the family: RNase MRP is an enzymatically active ribonucleoprotein with two distinct roles in eukaryotes. In mitochondria it plays a direct role in the initiation of mitochondrial DNA replication. In the nucleus it is involved in precursor rRNA processing, where it cleaves the internal transcribed spacer 1 between 18S and 5.8S rRNAs.
Source: Rfam by way of RNAcentral